GAUGAACGCUGGCGGCGUGCCUAAUACAUGCAAGUCGAGCGAACGGACGAGAAGCUUGCUUCUCUGAUGUUAGCGGCGGACAGGUGAGUAACACGUGGAUAACCUACCUAUAAGACUGGGAUAACUUCGGGAAACCGGAGCUAAUACCGGAUGAUAUUUUGAACCGCAUGGUUCAAAAGUGAAAGACGGUCUUGCUGUCACUUCUAGAUGGAUCCGCGCUGCAUUAGCUAGUUGGUAAGGUAACGGCUUACCAAGGCAACGAUGCCUAGCCGACCUGCGAGGGUGAUCGGCCACACGGGAACUGGGACACGGUCCAGACUCCUACGGGAGGCACCAGUAGGGAAUCUUCCGCAAAGGGCGAAAGCCUGACGGAGCAAGGCCGCGUGAGUGAUGAAGGUCUUCGGAUCGUAAAGCUCUGUUAUUAGGGAAGAACAUAUGUGUAAGUAACUGUGCACAUCUUGACGGUACCUAAUCAGAAAGCCACGGCUAACUACGUG
RNAcentral lists this ribosomal RNA (497 nucleotides) under uncultured bacterium. RNAcentral describes it as "partial 16S ribosomal RNA". It matches the Rfam family "Bacterial small subunit ribosomal RNA", at positions 28 to 507 of the family's 1533-position model. The record is from RNAcentral.